RNAcentral lists this ribosomal RNA (483 nucleotides) under uncultured bacterium. Its description in RNAcentral is "partial 16S ribosomal RNA". It matches the Rfam family "Bacterial small subunit ribosomal RNA", at positions 28 to 523 of the family's 1533-position model. The record is from RNAcentral.
GAUGAACGCUGGCGGCGUGCCUAAUACAUGCAAGUCGAGCGAACCACUUCGGUGGUGAGCGGCGAACGGGUGAGUAACACGUAGGUUAUCUGCCCAUCAGACGGGGACAACGAUUGGAAACGAUCGCUAAUACCGGAUAGGACGAAAGUUUAAAGGUGCUUCUGGCACCGCUGAUGGAUGAGCCUGCGGCGCAUUAGCUAGUUGGUAGGGUAAAGGCCUACCAAGGCGACGAUGCGUAGCCGACCUGAGAGGGUGAACGGCCACACUGGGACUGAGACACGGCCCAGACUCCUACGGGAGGCAGCAGUAGGGAAUCUUCGGCAAUGGGCGAAAGCCUGACCGAGCAACGCCGCGUGAAUGAUGAAGGCCUUCGGGUUGUAAAAUUCUGUUAUAAGGGAAGAAAUCGCACGGAUUAAUACUCUGUGUGGAUGACGGUACCUGCAGAAUAAGCACCGGCUAACUACGUGCCAGCCGCCGCGGUAA